RNAcentral lists this transfer RNA (84 nucleotides) under Felis catus (domestic cat). It matches the Rfam family "tRNA". From Rfam's summary of the family: Transfer RNA (tRNA) molecules are approximately 80 nucleotides in length. Their secondary structure includes four short double-helical elements and three loops (D, anti-codon, and T loops). The record is from Rfam by way of RNAcentral. Lineage: Eukaryota; Metazoa; Chordata; Mammalia; Carnivora; Felidae.
GCCUGGGUGGCUCGGCUGGUUGAGCGUCUGACUGGGGCUCAGGUCAUGAUCUCGUGUUUGUGGGUUCGAGUCCCGCGUCGGGCU